Coregonus clupeaformis (lake whitefish) is the source of this 1324-nucleotide long non-coding RNA. RefSeq lists it as uncharacterized. The transcript has 3 exons. The record is from RefSeq and is a predicted model, not a curated record. Lineage: Eukaryota; Metazoa; Chordata; Actinopteri; Salmoniformes; Salmonidae.
AGAGUUUGUGCAUAUUUUAUGACAACAUUUUGUGACGUUUUUGUUCAUUUUGGAGUUCGGUUAGGGUUUUUACGGCUGUUCGGGCACACCAUUUUUUUCCCUGCAGAAGUCUACACCCCUUCGUCCGUGAUUGGUCAACUGUAGGGGUGACGCGGGUUUCUGCUUCUUGGUGAUUCAUCCUGAAAAUCAGUGGAUUGAACAACUUGGAGCAUCGAUUGACCGAGGAGGUACAGAAGUACCUUCACCACUACGAUUCUAGCCAUGCAUUAUAUAAAGACCAGCAUGUAAAUGCCAAUUCAUGGAGGGAGAUUGCGGAGACACUGGGGUCCGACCCAACCACUUGUUCGAAAAAGUGGGGCAGGGUUCGCGACAAGUUCAUCAAGGCAAAGAAAAGAAACAAGGGCCGCAGUGGAGAUGCCGGUGGAAAAGCUACUCCAGAAAUGUUGCUGCUGGCUUGUUCGGCACGUGAAGCAGAAGACUGAAAGCAACAUGCCGUCUUCACCAAAGGAUGGGGCACAAACACCAGAGAAUGGAGACAGCACCUGUUUUUUUUUCUCUGCGCCGCAGGACUGCCUGUUCUUCAUGCAGGACCUGGGAAGCUCUAUCCUGGGCCCACCUCCAAGACCUUCUCCACUGGCUUUCUCCUCACCGAUGCCACAGAGCAGCAGUAGUAGUAGCAGGGGUGUGAGAAGAAGGGAGAAAAGAGCUGCAGAUUCAGCCCUUGACACAUCACUCACAAAGGCAAUGCAAAUGACUGAAGACAUACAGUAUCUGAAGAUCUGGAGAACAUCAGGCACCGAGCCACCAGCUUGGCCCAGAGGGUCCUUGCACCUAUAGCUGAUUUCAUGGAUGAACUCUCGCCAAAACUCCGGGAGGAAUACUACCACCAGCUGCAUGAAUUCCUGCAUCACUUGAAGAAGAGGACAUGGACCGAACGACUUGUUCUGUUGUUGUUCAGACACCUCAGGAGUCAGACACUUUCCUUUUAUUCCAUAGACACUUUUGUUCAUAACAGACACUGUUUUACUAUUGUUCCAAAUUAUUUAUAUUGCUCGUAAGUAUUUGUAUCUACACUCUUGACACUUUAUAUUUGACAAUUAUUGUUUACAUGUCUGUUCUCCGCAGACACUGUUGUAUUGUGGUUUACUUUCAGAAGCAAGAAUAAAGGUUUAUUUGUGUGCUGAAAAAGCUCUGUUGGCAUCUCAAUACAAGGUGUUUCAAUGCAUUCUAUUUGAACAUCAAGUGCUGACAAUGUACAGAAGAGCUCUGUGCCGCAGACUUUCUUCUACUCUGAACAAAAAUAUAAACGCAACAUUUAAAGUGU